Molecule: ribosomal RNA, 100 nt
Filed under: Priestia megaterium
Lineage: Bacteria; Bacillati; Bacillota; Bacilli; Caryophanales; Bacillaceae
Also listed under: 4 other names
Description: partial 23S ribosomal RNA
Rfam family: Bacterial large subunit ribosomal RNA
Source: RNAcentral
CUAGUAAGAUCCCUGAAAGAUGAUCAGGUUGAUAGGUCAGAGGUGGAAGCGUGGCGACAUGUGUAGCUGACUGAUACUAAUCGAUCGAGGACUUAACCAA